Molecule: transfer RNA, 65 nt
Filed under: Mordellochroa milleri
Lineage: Eukaryota; Metazoa; Arthropoda; Insecta; Coleoptera; Mordellidae
Description: tRNA-Ile
Source: RNAcentral
AUUGAAGUGCCUGAAAGAAAAGGAUUGCUUUGAUAGAGCAAAUUAUGUAAAUUUUACCUUCAUUA